UAUUGAAUAAACUGGUUGGGAUUGGUGCUGGCUCUCAUGAGCAUGUGCACGCCUAAUCCAUUUUUAACCACCUGUGCACCUUAUGUAGACUUGAACAAAUUUCGAGAUCCAUUGUGUACUCGCUUAGAGAAUUGCUGCUGUCUGUAUAGGCCAAGCUUUUCUUGUUCUUCAAGUCUAUGUCUUUAUUACUAAACCCCAGUAUAAGAAUGUAAUUGAUAGGCUAUCGUGCCUUUAAUCACAAAUACAACUUUCAACAACGGAUCUCUUGGCUCUCGCAUCGAUGAAGAACGCAGCGAAAUGCGAUAAGUAAUGUGAAUUGCAGAAUUCAGUGAAUCAUCGAAUCUUUGAACGCACCUUGCGCUCCUUGGUAUUCUGAGGAGCAUGCCUGUUUGAGUGUCAUGAAAUUCUCAACCUCUUCUAGCUUUUGCAAGCUAGAUUGGGCUUGGAUUAUGGAAGUUGCUGGCUUGUUUGAAGCCAGCUCUUCUAAAAUGCAUUAGCAAAAGAUCAUUGCUGCUUAUCAUUUGGUAUGAUAAUUAUUUAUACCAUUGUGAGUUGGCGUUUCAUUUUGCUUCUAACUGUCUCUAUUAUGGGGGGAACAAUUUGG
RNAcentral lists this ribosomal RNA (604 nucleotides) under Entoloma sp. 2 AK-2012. RNAcentral describes it as "eukaryotic LSU rRNA". The stretch from base 246 to 399 matches the Rfam family "5.8S ribosomal RNA". The record is from RNAcentral. Lineage: Eukaryota; Fungi; Basidiomycota; Agaricomycetes; Agaricales; Entolomataceae.